This 497-nucleotide ribosomal RNA is filed under the name uncultured bacterium. RNAcentral's name for it is "partial 16S ribosomal RNA". It matches the Rfam family "Bacterial small subunit ribosomal RNA", at positions 28 to 507 of the family's 1533-position model. The record is from RNAcentral.
GAUGAACGCUGGCGGCGUGCCUAAUACAUGCAAGUCGAGCGAACGGACGAGAAGCUUGCUUUUCUGAUGUUAGCGGCGGGCGGGUGAGUAACACGUGGAUAACCUACCUAUAAGACUGGGAUAACUUCGGGAAACCGGAGCUAAUACCGGCUAAUAUUUUGAACCGCAUGGUUCAAAAGUGAAAGACGGUCUUGCUGUCACUUAUAGAUGGAUCCGCGCUGCAUUAGCUAGUUGGUAAGGUAACGGCUUACCAAGGCAACGAUGCAUAGCCGACCUGAGAGGGUGAUCGGCAACACUGGAACUGAGACACGGUCCAGACUCCUACGGGAGGCAGCAGUAGGGAAUCUUCCGCAAUGGGGGAAAGCACGACGGAGCAACGCCGCGUGAGUGAAGAAGGUCUUCGGAUCGUAAAACUCUGUUAUUAGGGAAGAAAAUAUGUGGAAGAAAAUGUGCACAUCUUGACGGUACCUAAUCAGAAAGCAACGGCUAACUACGUG